ACGGGUGAGUAACACGUGGAUCAUCUACCUUCUAGUGGGGAAUACCCCCGGGAAACUGGGGACAAUACCGCAUAAGCUCGUAAGAGGAAAGCAGCAAUGCGCUGGAAGAGGAGUCCGCGGCUGAUUAGCUAGUUGGCGGGGUAACGGCCCACCAAGGCGAAGAUCGGUAGCCGGCCUGAGAGGGCACACGGCCACACUGGCACUGAAACACGGGCCAGACUCCUACGGGAGGCAGCAGUGGGGAAUCUUGCACAAUGGAGGAAACUCUGAUGCAGCGACGCCGCGUGAGCGAUGAAGCCCUUCGGGGUGUAAAGCUCUUUCGACGGGAACGAUAAUGACGGUACCCGAAGAAGAAGCUGCGGCUAACUACGUGCCAGCAGCCGCGGUAAUACGUAGGCAGCAAGCGUUGUUCGGAAUUACUGGGCGUAAAGAGUGUGUAGGCGGUGUUCCAAGUCUGUUGUGAAAUCUCCCGGCUUAACUGGGAGGGUGCGGCGGAAACUGGGAUGCUAGAGGAUGGGAGAGGUAAGCGGAAUUCCUGGUGUAGCGGUGAAAUGCGUAGA
RNAcentral lists this ribosomal RNA (560 nucleotides) under uncultured bacterium gp3. RNAcentral's name for it is "bacterial SSU rRNA". It matches the Rfam family "Bacterial small subunit ribosomal RNA", at positions 102 to 694 of the family's 1533-position model. The record is from RNAcentral.